RNAcentral lists this ribosomal RNA (430 nucleotides) under uncultured archaeon. Its description in RNAcentral is "bacterial SSU rRNA". It matches the Rfam family "Archaeal small subunit ribosomal RNA", at positions 474 to 903 of the family's 1478-position model. The record is from RNAcentral.
UACCAGCUCUCCGAGUGGUGUGGAUGUUUAUUGGGCCUAAAGCAUCCGUAGCUGGCUGGACAAGUCCCCUGUUAAAUCCACCGAUUUAAUCGUUGGUGUGCGGGGGAUACUGUUCGGCUAGGGGACGGGAGAGGCAGACGGUAUUUUCGGGGUAGGGGUGAAAUCCUAUAAUCCCGGGAAGACCACCAGUGGCGAAGGCUGUCUGCUAGAACGCGCCCGACGGUGAGGGAUGAAAGCUGGGGGAGCGAACCGGAUUAGAUACCUGGGUAGUCCCAGCUGUAAACGAUGCAGGCUAGGUGUUUGGACGGCCACGUGCCGUUCUAGUGCCGCAGGGAAGCCGUUAAGCCUGCCGCCUGGGGAGUACGGCCGCAAGGCUGAAGCUUAAAGGAAUUGGGCGGGGGAGCACCACAAGGGGUGAAGCUUGCGGUUU